RNAcentral lists this ribosomal RNA (464 nucleotides) under uncultured bacterium. Its description in RNAcentral is "bacterial SSU rRNA". It matches the Rfam family "Bacterial small subunit ribosomal RNA", at positions 29 to 524 of the family's 1533-position model. The record is from RNAcentral.
AACGAACGCUGGCGGCAUGCCUAACACAUGCAAGUCGAACGUGAUCCGGGACUUCGGUUCCGGUGAAAGUGGCGCACGGGUGAGUAACGCGUGGGAACCUGCCCAAAGGUAAGGAAUAACCGCGGGAAACUGCGGCUAAUACCUUAUGCUCCCUUCGGGGGAAAGAUUUAUCGCCUUUGGAUGGGCCCGCGUCGGAUUAGCUAGUUGGUGAGGUAACGGCUCACCAAGGCGACGAUCCGUAGCUGGUCNGAGAGGAUGAUCAGCCACACUGGGACUGAGACACGGCCCAGACUCCUACGGGAGGCAGCAGUGGGGGAAUAUUGGACAAUGGGCGCAAGCCUGAUCCAGCAAUGCCGCGUGAGUGAUGAAGGCCUUAGGGUUGUAAAGCUCUUUUGGCGGGGAAGAUGAUGACGGUACCCGCAGAAGAAGCCCCGGGCUAACUUCGUGCCAGCAGCCGCGGUAAU